GAAAUGCGAUAAGUAAUGUGAAUUGCAGAAUUCAGUGAAUCAUCGAAUCUUUGAACGCACAUUGCGCCCCCUGGUAUUCCCGGGGGCAUGCCUGUUCGAGCGUCAUUUCACCACUCAAGCCUCGCUUGGUAUUGGGCAACGCGGUCCGCCGCGUGCCUCAAAUCGACCGGCUGGGUCUUCUGUCCCCUAAGCGUUGUGGAAACUAUUCGCUAAAGGGUGCUCGGGAGGCUACGCCGUAAAACAAACCCAUUUCUAAGGUUGACCUCGGAUCAGGUAGGGAUACCCGCUGAACUUAAGC
RNAcentral lists this unclassified non-coding RNA (298 nucleotides) under plant metagenome. RNAcentral describes it as "partial contains 5.8S ribosomal RNA, internal transcribed spacer 2, and large subunit ribosomal RNA". The stretch from base 1 to 105 matches the Rfam family "5.8S ribosomal RNA", at positions 50 to 154 of the family's 154-position model. The record is from RNAcentral.